AAUGAGGGAGAUGAUGUUUUCUUGUGUGAAUAUGAAUAUGACAUCCAGUGGCACAGUUUCAAACGCUUGGCUGACAUU
Molecule: small nucleolar RNA, 78 nt
Organism: Medicago truncatula (barrel medic)
Lineage: Eukaryota; Viridiplantae; Streptophyta; Magnoliopsida; Fabales; Fabaceae
Rfam family: Small nucleolar RNA snoR28
About the family: R28 is a member of the C/D class of snoRNA which contain the C (UGAUGA) and D (CUGA) box motifs.
Source: Rfam